GCUGGUCAUGUAGCUCAAUUGGUAGAGUACUUGCCUGGCAUGCACAAGGUCCUGGGUUCAAUCCCCAGCACCAGGCA
This is a non-coding RNA of Mesocricetus auratus (golden hamster), 77 nucleotides long. NCBI's taxonomy places the organism in Eukaryota, Metazoa, Chordata, Mammalia, Rodentia, Cricetidae. The record is from the annotation of a RefSeq genome assembly.